AGAGUUUGAUCCCGGCUCAGAAUCAACGCUGGCGGCGCGCCUAACACAUGCAAGUCGAACGGGAGAGGAGGAGCAAUCCUCUGAGUACAGUGGCGUACGGGUGAGUAACACGUGGGUGAUCUACCUUCUGGUGGGGAAUAACCCUGGGAAACCGGGGCUAAUACCGCAUAAGUCCGAGAGGAGAAAGUCGCAAGACGCCGGAAGAGGAGCCCGCGGCCGAUUAGCUAGUUGGUGAGGUAAGAGCCCACCAAGGCGAAGAUCGGUAGCCGGCCUGAGAGGGCACACGGCCACACUGGCACUGAAACACGGGCCAGACUCCUACGGGAGGCAGCAGUGGGGAAUCUUGCACAAUGGGGGAAACCCUGAUGCAGCGACGCCGCGUGAGCGAUGAAGCCCUUCGGGGUGUAAAGCUCUUUCGGCAGGGAAGAUGAUGACGGUACCUGCAGAAGCAGCUGCGGCUAACUACGUGCCAGCAGCCGCGGUAAUACGUAGGCAGCAAGCGUUGUUCGGAGUUACUGGGCGUAAAGGGUGUGUAGGCGGCCGUUUAAGUUUGGUGUGAAAUCUCCCGGCUCAACUGGGAGGGUGCGCCGAAUACUGAAUGGCUGGAGUGCGGGAGAGGAGAGUGGAAUUCCUGGUGUAGCAAAAUGCGUAGAUAUCAGGAGGAACACCGGUGGUGUAGACGGCUCUCUGGGCCGCAACUGACGCUGAGACACGAAAGCGUGGGUAGCAAACAGGAUUAGAUACCCUGGUAGUCCACGCCCUAAACGAUGCACAUUUGGUGUGGGUCAUUCAGUUGAUCUGUGCCGGAGCUAACGCGUUAAAUGUGCCGCCUGGGGAGUACAGUCGCAAGGCUGAAACUCAAAGGAAUUGACGGGGGCCCGCACAAGCGGUGGAGCAUGUGGUUCAAUUCGACGCAACGCGAAGAACCUUACCUGGGCUCGAACGGCCGGUUAACGGGGGCGGAAACGCUUCUACCCCGCAAGGGGGUCCGGUCGAGGUGCUGCAUGGCUGUCGUCAGCUCGUGUCGUGAGAUGUUGGGUUAAGUCCCGCAACGAGCGCAACCCUUGUCCUGUGUUGCCAUGCCCGCAAGGGCGGAACUCGCAGGAGACCGCCAGCGAUAAGCUGGAGGAAGGUGGGGAUGACGUCAAGUCCUCAUGGCCUUUAUGUCCAGGGCUACACACGUGCUACAAUGGCCGGUACAAA
This 1203-nucleotide ribosomal RNA is filed under the name metagenome. RNAcentral's name for it is "bacterial SSU rRNA". It matches the Rfam family "Bacterial small subunit ribosomal RNA", at positions 8 to 1243 of the family's 1533-position model. The record is from RNAcentral.